UACGUAGGGGGCAAGCGUUGUCCGGAUUUAUUGGGCGUAAAGAGCGUGUAGGCGGCCAGGUAGGUCCGUUGUGAAAACUCGAGGCUCAACCUCGAGACGUCGGCGGAAACCCUCUGGCUAGAGUCCGGAAGAGGAGAGUGGAAUUCCUGGUGUAGCGGUGAAAUGCGCAGAUAUCAGGAGGAACACCGGUGGCGAAGGCGGGUCUCUGGGCCGUAACUGACGCUGAGGAGCGAAAGCAUGGGGAGCGAACAGG
RNAcentral lists this ribosomal RNA (253 nucleotides) under uncultured bacterium. RNAcentral describes it as "partial 16S ribosomal RNA". It matches the Rfam family "Bacterial small subunit ribosomal RNA", at positions 524 to 776 of the family's 1533-position model. The record is from RNAcentral.